Long non-coding RNA from Capsicum annuum, 2389 nucleotides. RefSeq lists it as uncharacterized. NCBI's taxonomy places the organism in Eukaryota, Viridiplantae, Streptophyta, Magnoliopsida, Solanales, Solanaceae. The record is from RefSeq and is a predicted model, not a curated record. The transcript has 4 exons.
AAUGUGAGAUAAACUCCCCAUAGGCAACCUUCUAAGAACUUCAGCAAUAAUAUUAGCUUUACCUGGAUGAUAGUGCAAACUCAUGUCAUAAUUCGUAACCAAUUCAAGCCACUGCUAGUGUCUAAGAUUCAACUCCUGUGUAAACACAUACUGCAAGCUAAUAUACUAAAAAUAACUACCCAAAUGCAAUCCAUAAAGAUAAUGGAUCCAAAUCAUAAAAGUAAGAACCACGACAACCAACUUUAGAUCAUGAGUUAUUCUAUUUGUUUCAUUAGAAGAAGACAAAUUAAAUCCAAAUACUUCUUUCUAUAAUAGCGAAACACUCCUUUUCCCUUUCCAUUCUUUCCUCCUCUGUAACCUCUCUCCCGUCUUCGUCGAGCACCACCAGUACUAGGGUUCCAACACUGGUGAUAUCGAUGAAUUUUUUGACCUUAAUAAACCCAUCUCCGCCAUACAACACCUCUCUCCUCCUCCCUCAUUGGUCACUCAAGUUGCAUCUCGCCAUCCUACCCGAAGCCUGCAUCGAUGUCCUUUGAGGAAUGAUAUGGAGAUGAGUUAGCAGGUAUUCCUUAAUCUUUGCCCUCUAAUUCCUCUUUAAUUACAGAAUCUUCCACUGAGACUUCCAAUUAGAUCCCAAUUUGAAACCUUCACUGGAGCUUGACAUUGGAAGACCAAGAUUGAUAUCGGAUUAUACUAUUAAGAUAUUUUGUGCUUCUUUCUUGAUUAUGUUUGUAAUAAAUUAAUUUACUAGGAAGAGGGAGAAUGAGAACUAAGCAUUAGCUUGGGCGAGUCAAUUCAUAAUGAGGGAUUUAAUAUUUGAUAAGAAUUUUAGUUUAUUGGGUGUUGGGGAAACGGAAGAUUCUCCAUUGUUGCUAAAAGAAGGACAAAAUAUGUUCAAAUUUUAUUCUAGUGGUAGGAGAUUUUGUCAGGGUUUGCUGGCUAUAAUGGAGUUAAAAAGUCAAAAGAUUUGAUAUCGAGGUUGUAUAAUAUAGUGGUGCCUUUUAAAGACGAGAAAGGGUUUGAGGUCUAUAUAAAUGAUGAUGCAAUGGAUCAAGUGGUUGUUGAUGUGGCUAAGAAGAAAUUAGCCGAGACAAUGCAAAAAGAGAUUACAGAUAUCCAGAGAUUUGCAUCAGUCAUUUACUCUAUACUUUCUCUGAUUUAAAAUGAGAGUUCAUUUUCAUGGAGUACACUAGUCGGCUGGGUUGGAAAGUGGGUUAAAGGGAAAUGCCACUUAUAGUAGAUCCCAGGCUCUAUAAGACAACUAAGUCUUAUAUAUUUUGGGUCUCUCCAAGGAGAGGUCUUCCCACAGCCUUUAAAAUCUUUACAAGUUAGUGUUUUAUGAUUGAAUUUGCAUACUUGUUUAGGUAUUCUUGAAGCUGCUUACUGAUGUUGAUUCACCGCAGAAGCAAAUAGAACAUGCCACGAUACUACUUUGGUUUAGUAAAAUUUUGUGCUUGUACUAUUACUUCUUUCCCUUAAUCUACACAUACUUUCUUUGUUAAUAUAAGGACUUUAUGUCAGAACCUUAAAAACUCAGAGUCUGUCAAAACUAGAGUAGCUGAAUUAUUGGUAUUAUUUUCAGUCAGAGACUCCUCGAGUUGAAAAGAACGCCAUGCUAAGAUAUACUUAUUAUGUUUCAAUGUUUUCUAUCAAGCUAAAGAUAGAGGGUUCAUCUGUUUUGUAUGACUAAUGGGUGAUGAUCAUUUGAUUUCUCUAUACUCAUGUUACAAGAAUAAUAUACUGGGAUCCAAAACCAAAAAAUAUCCAACUUCAGGUUGAUGGGCAUGUCGUACUAACUGACUUUGAUCUUUUUUCUCAAGACAUCCUGUAAACCUCAAGUACGCUUCAGUUUUGACAGUUUUCUUUACUAUUGAUCUUUGUUUCAUGCACUUCUACUUCUGUAAACUCUUUUGUUUGGGAUUCAGGUAUCUUGCUUUAUGAGAUGAUCUAUGGGCGUGCACUAUUUAGAAGAAAAAACAGGCACAAGAUAUUUUCCAACAUCCUAAACAAGGACCUCACUUUCCCUAGUAGCAUGCUGCUCGCUAGUAGAAGGUCACGGUGAGGAUGGUGAAGAUACAUUGUCAGAUGGCAAUCCUGCCUCUUUAAGGAUUAAUGGCAUUGAUGGCGCUUCGAAGGAUAUAAACAUUUUCUCACAUCAAGUUCCGACAUGGCUUUUGGAUUCUACACCAGAUGAAUUUGUUGUGGAAAGAUGCCAAAUCAAGUUAGUUUGGGGUUGUGGCAUUAUUAUUGAUUGAUUGAUAUAAAGUUGCCUUUUGUAUGCUUAUCAAUAUCAAACUUCUGAUGCUCUCCAAUAUAUUUCAAAUGUAGGAAGCAGUCAGGAAAUUGUGUUAACAUAAUUCAAUAUAGAUUUCAAUUUGUAUUUGAAUUA